This 30-nucleotide non-coding RNA is filed under the name Mus musculus (house mouse). The record is from RNAcentral. Lineage: Eukaryota; Metazoa; Chordata; Mammalia; Rodentia; Muridae.
UGGAACUGCUUGGAUGUUACUAUGGAACCU